AGCGAACGCUGGCGGCAGGCCUAACACAUGCAGGUCGAACGAACUCUUCGGAGUUAGUGGCGGACGGGUGAGUAACACGUGGGAACGUGCCUUUUGGUUCGGAAUAACUCAGGGAAACUUGUGCUAAUACCGAAUGUGCCCUUCGGGGGAAAGAUUUAUCGCCAUUAGAGCGGCCCGCGUCUGAUUAGCUAGUUGGUGAGGUAACGGCUCACCAAGGCGACGAUCAGUAGCUGGUCUGAGAGGAUGACCAGCCACACUGGGACUGAGACACGGCCCAGACUCCUACGGGAGGCAGCAGUGGGGAAUCUUGCGCAAUGGGCGAAAGACUGACGCAGCCAUGCCGCGUGAAUGAUGAAGGUCUUAGGAUUGUAAAAUUCUUUCACCGGGGACGAUAAUGACGGUACCCGGAGAAGAAGCCCCGGCUAACUUCGUG
This 433-nucleotide ribosomal RNA is filed under the name uncultured bacterium. Its description in RNAcentral is "partial 16S ribosomal RNA". It matches the Rfam family "Bacterial small subunit ribosomal RNA", at positions 29 to 507 of the family's 1533-position model. The record is from RNAcentral.